AGAGUUUGAUCAUGGCUCAGAUUGAACGCUGGCGGCAGGCCUAACACAUGCAAGUCGAGCGGUAACAGGGGGUGCUUGCACCCCGCUGACGAGCGGCGGACGGGUGAGUAAUGCAUAGGAAUCUGCCCGAUAGUGGGGGAUAACCUGGGGAAACCCAGGCUAAUACCGCAUACGUCCUACGGGAGAAAGGGGGCUUCGGCUCCCGCUAUCGGAUGAGCCUAUGUCGGAUUAGCUGGUUGGUGAGGUAAAGGCUCACCAAGGCGACGAUCCGUAGCUGGUCUGAGAGGAUGAUCAGCCACAUCGGGACUGAGACACGGCCCGAACUCCUACGGGAGGCAGCAGUGGGGAAUAUUGGACAAUGGGGGGAACCCUGAUCCAGCCAUGCCGCGUGUGUGAAGAAGGCCCUCGGGUUGUAAAGCACUUUCAGUGAGGAAGAACGCCUGGUGGUUAAUACCCAUCAGGAAAGACAUCACUCACAGAAGAAGCACCGGCUAACUUCCGUGCCAGCAGCCGCGGUAAUACGGAGGGUGCGAGCGUUWAUCGGAAUUACUGGGCGUAAAGCGCGCGUAGGUGG
RNAcentral lists this ribosomal RNA (574 nucleotides) under uncultured bacterium. RNAcentral's name for it is "bacterial SSU rRNA". The record is from RNAcentral.